Molecule: ribosomal RNA, 468 nt
Filed under: uncultured bacterium
Lineage: Bacteria
Description: partial 16S ribosomal RNA
Rfam family: Bacterial small subunit ribosomal RNA
Source: RNAcentral
GACGAACGCUGGCGGCGUGCUUAACACAUGCAAGUCGAACGGAAAGGCCCUGCUUUUGUGGGGUGCUCGAGUGGCGAACGGGUGAGUAACACGUGAGUAACCUGCCCUUGACUUUGGGAUAACUUCAGGAAACUGGGGCUAAUACCGGAUAGGAGCUCCUGCUGCAUGGUGGGGGUUGGAAAGUUUCGGCGGUUGGGGAUGGACUCGCGGCUUAUCAGCUUGUUGGUGGGGUAGUGGCUUACCAAGGCUUUGACGGGUAGCCGGCCUGAGAGGGUGACCGGCCACCAUAGUCCUGCGAGACGGACCAGAAUCCUACGGGCGGCAGCAGUGGGAAAUAUUGCACAACGGGCGGAAGCCUGAUGCGGCGGCGCCGCGUGCGGGAUGACGGCCUUCGGGUUGUGAACCGCUUUCGCCUGUGACGAAGCGUGAGUGACGGUAAUGGGUAAAGAAGCACCGGCUAACUACGUG